GACGAACGCUGGCGGCGUGCCUAAUACAUGCAAGUCGAACGCAUUUUCUUUCACCGUAGCUUGCUACACCGAAAGAAAAUGAGUGGCGAACGGGUGAGUAACACGUGGGUAACCUGCCCAUCAGCGGGGGAUAACACUUGGAAACAGGUGCUAAUACCGCAUAAUUCCAUUUACCGCAUGGUAGAUGGAUGAAAGGCGCUUUUGCGUCACUGAUGGAUGGACCCGCGGUGCAUUAGCUAGUUGGUGGGGUAACGGCCUACCAAGGCUGCGAUGCAUAGCCGCCCUGAGAGGGUGAUCGGCCACACUGGGACUGAGACACGGCCCAGACUCCUACGGGAGGCAGCAGUAGGGAAUCUUAGGCAAUGGACGCAAGUCUGACCGAGCAACGCCGCGUGAGUGAAGAAGGUUUUCGGAUCGUAAAACUCUGUUGUUAGAGAAGAACAAGGAUGAGAGUGGAAAGUUCAUCCCUUGACGGUAUCUAACCAGAAAGCCACGGCUAACUACGUG
This 507-nucleotide ribosomal RNA is filed under the name uncultured bacterium. RNAcentral describes it as "partial 16S ribosomal RNA". It matches the Rfam family "Bacterial small subunit ribosomal RNA", at positions 28 to 507 of the family's 1533-position model. The record is from RNAcentral.